GGAGCUCUUCGUCCCGCAGAUGUUGCGUGUGUCCCCCCCCCCGCCUUGGCCGCAGCUAUAAAGUCGCUCCGCUGCUAAAACCCGCUUCUUCUUCUUCUUCUUCCUCCGGAAAACUCGAGGAGCGGGGCUCGGAUCUUCCUCUCCGAAAACAAUAAUCCGCCGUGGCCACCGUGGUCUGCGUUCAGCGUGAGAGCAGAGUCAGCAGCAGCGAGCCUGGAGCAGAGCGGGCAGAGCCAGAGCGGGGAGAGCGGGCUGCUCGAGCCGGAGACGCCGCACCGCCAUGACGCUGGAAACCCCGGGCUGUGACGUCACCCUGACGUCACCGCCACGCUGCUCCGGCCGCGGCUCAUGGUUCACGCUGCUGGGACAAGAAAACUUUGUUUAAAACGGUGUUUUACUCUACGACGGAGUAUUAGGGCCAAACAAAGAAAAUUAGAAUAAAAUCGUAAUUUUAUGAGAAUAAGGUUGUAAUAUUACGAGAAUAAAGUCAUAAUGUUGCGAGAAUAAAGUCGUAAUAUUAUGAGAAUAAAGUCGUAACAUUACGAGAAUAAAGUCAUAAUGUUGCGAGAAUAAAGUCGUAAUAUUAUGAGAAUAAAGUAACAUUACGAGAAUAAAGUCGUAACAUUACAAGAAUAAAGUGGUAAUUUAUUAGAAUAAAAUCGUAAUAUUACAAGAAUAAAGUGGUAAUUUAGUUAUAUUUAUAUAUUUAUAAUAUAUUUAAUAUUACGACUUUAUUCUCGUAACAUUACGACUUUAUUGUCGCAACAUUAUAACUUUAUUCUGGUAAUUUUACGACUUUAUUCCGGUAAUUUUACGACUUUAUUUUCAUAUUAUUAUGACUUUAUUUUCGUAAUUUCCUUUUUUUUUUGUCUUAGUUUGGCCCUAAUAGACCCCUUUCCAGCCUACGUCAUCACAGGAUGCGCGCGCAUUGUUGCGGCGGAAGUGCUGAAGAAGUUGCAUGAGUUUGAAUAAUACAUCCAUGGUUUGAAUAGAGCGAGGGAAGAUUUGUUUCUUAAGUUGCGUUUUUGGAGUUGCAGUAACGUUAUAGAAGAACAACAUGCCCACCAGCUGUUGUGUGUACGGGUGUACAAAUCGAAAUCCCGAGGAACACAAUUUUUUGCAAUUCCCAGAGGAAACAGGCCAUUUCCAAAGCACCGUAGGAGCCUGUGGCUGCAAGUAAAAGAACCGACUGGACCGAGGAUCAUCUAGAAUGCCCGCUUUUGCAGUGCUCAUUUCAUAUCUGGUGAGAUGUCUCUGGACCAUGAGAUUCCUGAUUUUGUGCCCUCUAUUUUUUCAUACACUAAACAAAACCAAAACCCUGAUGCAAAGAUCAAAAGGUACCAAAGAAAAAAGAAAUGGAGUGAAAGACUUCUGGUUGCUCCACCAAACCAACCUGCUCCUGCUCCUGGAGCUCCAGAGGAAUCACCAGCAUGGAUCACAGUCCUACUGAAGAGGACAUCCCAGUCACGAGGACAGAAUACAAUGACCUGAACCUGAAGUACACCGAGCUGAAGAGUGACCACGUCAACCUGCAGGAAAAGUAUCAACAGCUGCGAGAUGAAAAUGAGAACUUAAAGAGGAGCUGAAGAAGUCUACAUUUUCAUACUCAAAUAUUAAGUGCAACAUGGUACAACUGUUGUUUAUCACUAGAAUAACAUCUGUGCUCUUUGACUUUGUGCACCAAAAUUGCAGGAAGUGUAAAAAUAUUCAGCAAGAAGCUCUCUCUACAGGAUCAUCUUUUGAUAGUGUUAAUGAAAUUAAGGUUGCAGCUCAUGGUGCCACCCUUCGCAUUCCAGCUUUCACCAAAGGCAAACAGCAACUUUCUGCACAGGAGGUCGACACAUCAAGACAACUGUCACGUGUCAGGAUACUGUACAUGGCUUUCGAUUUGGAGCUAUGACUAUGAAUUGAAUAUCAGCCAUUAAUGAUUUA
Molecule: long non-coding RNA, 1932 nt
Organism: Cololabis saira (Pacific saury)
Lineage: Eukaryota; Metazoa; Chordata; Actinopteri; Beloniformes; Belonidae
Exons: 4
Source: RefSeq, a predicted model, not a curated record